CUAGAAUCUGGAAUAAUCCUUAUGCUGGACAGAUUCGUCUACAAGGAGGUGCUUAUUCAAGUUAUGGUAGACUGGAAGUAUAUUGUAAUGGACAGUGGGGUACAGUGUGUGAGGAUAGUUUUGGCAUUACUGAUGCUAGAGUUGUCUGUCGUCAGUUAGGAUACAGUAACUAUGUUACUGCAACCAGAUUGCCUGGAACUGUUUCUCAACCUAUUUGGCUUGACAAGGUCAUAAGUGUACCAGUUCAUCCAAUUGUCUUGCUUAUUGUGAAUCUUGUCCAGCUACACAAUAUCAUAACUGUGUACACAAUGAAGAUGUGACCUUGGGAUGUGAAUUUAAUUCUAAUUUUACUACAUCCUCCAAUACCUUGAGCACCUGUCGAUAUGCUGACUCUACAUCAAGUGGUACCAGUGAUGCAGUGAUUGGAAUUAUAUUUGGGAUUAUAAUAUUCAUGGGUAUAUGUUGCUGCUGUUUCAGUAUUUGUAUUUGCAUUGGUUGCAGCCAGAAAAGAAGAGAAUAUGUAUUCACAUACUUUAUACCAGUGAAAAGUGAUACACGAAAACAAGGACUAAUUAUAUUUUAAUUAUUAAUUGCUUAGCAUUGGUUAGUAAACAGAUUAUUUUUGUUAUAGCUGGACCAGUUAGAUCUAGUGUUAGUGAGUGAAUUUGAUUAGAUAUGUUGAUUUUAUUAGUUAAUUGUGUUAUUAGUUUGUGAGAAACAGAAAACUUAAUUGAUUGUUAUUAGAUACUCUUGAUGUUA
Molecule: long non-coding RNA, 759 nt
Organism: Amphimedon queenslandica
Lineage: Eukaryota; Metazoa; Porifera; Demospongiae; Haplosclerida; Niphatidae
Exons: 4
Source: RefSeq, a predicted model, not a curated record